Molecule: ribosomal RNA, 471 nt
Filed under: uncultured Methanomethylovorans sp.
Lineage: Archaea; Methanobacteriati; Methanobacteriota; Methanomicrobia; Methanosarcinales; Methanosarcinaceae
Description: bacterial SSU rRNA
Rfam family: Archaeal small subunit ribosomal RNA
Source: RNAcentral
UUGACGGGGAGCACUACAACGGGUGGAGCCUGCGUUUAAUUGGACUCAACGCCGGAAAACUCACCGGGGGCGACAGCAAUAUGUAGGUCAAGCUAAAGACUUUACCAGAAUCGCUGAGAGGAGGUGCAUGGCCGUCGUCAGUUCGUACUGUGAAGCAUCCUGUUAAGUCAGGCAACGAGCGAGACCCGUGCCCACUGUUGCCAGCAUGUCCUUCGGGAUGAUGGGUACUCUGUGGGACCGCCGAUGCUAAAUCGGAGGAAGGUGCGGGCUACGGUAGGUCAGUAUGCCCCGAAUCUCCCGGGCUACACGCGGGCUACAAUGACUGGGACAAUGGGCUCCUACCCCGAAAGGGGAUGGUAAUCUCAUAAACCCAGCCUUAGUUCGGAUCGAGGGCUGUAACCCGCCCUCGUGAAGCUGGAAUCCGUAGUAAUCGCGUUUCAACAUAGCGCGGUGAAUACGUCCCUGCUCCUU